ACGACUCUCGGCAACGGAUAUCUCGGCUCACGCAUCGAUGAAGAACGUAGCAAAAUGCGAUACUUGGUGUGAAUUGCAGAAUCCCGUGAACCAUCGAGUUUUUGAACGCAAGUUGCGCCCGAAGCCUUUUGGCCGAGGGCACGUCUGCCUGGGCGUCACGC
This 161-nucleotide ribosomal RNA is filed under the name Centaurea napifolia. RNAcentral describes it as "5.8S ribosomal RNA". It matches the Rfam family "5.8S ribosomal RNA". From Rfam's summary of the family: 5.8S ribosomal RNA (5.8S rRNA) is a component of the large subunit of the eukaryotic ribosome. It is transcribed by RNA polymerase I as part of the 45S precursor that also contains 18S and 28S rRNA. The record is from RNAcentral. RNAcentral also lists the same sequence under 5 other names. Lineage: Eukaryota; Viridiplantae; Streptophyta; Magnoliopsida; Asterales; Asteraceae.